RNAcentral lists this ribosomal RNA (825 nucleotides) under uncultured Bacillota bacterium. Its description in RNAcentral is "bacterial SSU rRNA". It matches the Rfam family "Bacterial small subunit ribosomal RNA", at positions 58 to 892 of the family's 1533-position model. The record is from RNAcentral. Lineage: Bacteria; Bacillati; Bacillota.
CAAGUCGAACGAUUAAAGCUCUCUUCGGAGAGUGUAUAGAGUGGCGCACGGGUGAGUAACACGUAAGUAAUCUACCUUCGAGUGGGGAAUAACAGUCGGAAACGACUGCUAAUACCGCAUAAUGCAGCGGCAUCGCAAGAUGACAGUUGUUAAAGGAGCAAUUCGCUUGAAGAGGAGCUUGCGGCAGAUUAGCUAGUUGGUAAGGUAAUGGCUUACCAAGGCUACGAUCUGUAUCCGGUCUAAGAGGACGGUCGGACACACUGACACUGAAUAACGGGUCAGACUCCUACGGGAGGCAGCAGUCGGGAAUUUUGGGCAAUGGGCGAAAGCCUGACCCAGCAACGCCGCGUGAAGGAUGAAGUAUUUCGGUAUGUAAACUUCGAAAGAAUAGGAAGAAUAAAUGACGGUACUAUUUAUAAGGUCCGGCUAACUACGUGCCAGCAGCCGCGGUAAUACGUAGGGACCAAGCGUUGUUCGGAUUUACUGGGCGUAAAGGGCGCGUAGGCGGCAAUUCAAGUCAUCUGUGAAAUCUCCGGGCUUAACUCGGAACGGUCAGAUGAUACUGCUUUGCUAGAGUGCAGAAGGGGCAAUCGGAAUUCUUGGUGUAGCGGUGAAAUGCGUAGAUAUCAAGAGGAACACCUGAGGUGAAGACGGGUUGCUGGGCUGACACUGACGCUGAGGCGCGAAAGCCAGGGGAGCAAACGGGAUUAGAUACCCCGGUAGUCCUGGCCCUAAACGAUGAAUACUUGGUGUCUGGAAUUAUUAUUGUUCCCGGGUGCCGUCGCUAACGUUUUAAGUAUUCCGCCUGGGGAGUACGCACGCAAG